This 503-nucleotide ribosomal RNA is filed under the name uncultured bacterium. RNAcentral describes it as "partial 16S ribosomal RNA". It matches the Rfam family "Bacterial small subunit ribosomal RNA", at positions 30 to 523 of the family's 1533-position model. The record is from RNAcentral.
AUUGAACGCUGGCGGCAGGCUUAACACAUGCAAGUCGAGCGGGGUGAUGGUGCUUGCACUAUCACUUAGCGGCGGACGGGUGAGUAAUGCUUAGGAAUCUGCCUAUUAGUGGGGGACAACAUCUCGAAAGGGAUGCUAAUACCGCAUACGUCCUACGGGAGAAAGCAGGGGAUCACUUGUGACCUUGCGCUAAUAGAUGAGCCUAAGUCGGAUUAGCUAGUUGGUGGGGUAAAGGCCUACCAAGGCGACGAUCUGUAGCGGGUCUGAGAGGAUGAUCCGCCACACUGGGACUGGGACACGGCCCGGACUCCUACGGGAGGCAGCAGUGUGGAAUAUUGGACAAUGGGGGGAACCCUGAUCCAGCCAUGCCGCGUGUGUGAAGAAGGCCUUAUGGUUGUAAAGCACUUUAAGCGAGGAGGAGGCUCUUUUGGUUAAUACCCAAGAUGAGUGGACGUUACUCGCAGAAUAAGCACCGGCUAACUCUGUGCCAGCCGCCGCGGUAA